This 359-nucleotide long non-coding RNA is filed under the name Mytilus galloprovincialis (Mediterranean mussel). The record is from RNAcentral. Lineage: Eukaryota; Metazoa; Mollusca; Bivalvia; Mytilida; Mytilidae.
CACUUUUGUCACACAAAAAAUAAUAAGUACAUUACAGCAAUGGUUUAUUAUUAAGUAUAAAUAUAUUUAAAGUAGUAAAAAACAUCUAAAAAUUUGGAAACAAACUAAAAUACAUUCGUUAACUACCCAAGAACUCAAAUGCAAUCUGCUUUUUAUUUCAUAAAAUACAUAACAAUAUAUCAUAAUUAAGAGGUAGUAAAACAAAACAAUUGUCUACAUGCAUCAUCAUUUUUCACCUAUUUAAAAUCAACAAAAAGAGGUAGGUACAAACCAUUUGUGAGAAAAGAUUUACCCUUAUUUUUGUUAUUUAAUGCCAAUCCAUUUAAAACAUUAAUAAAUCCCUUGAAAGAUUACAUUGG